AGAGUUUGAUCCUGGCUCAGAUUGAACGCUGGCGGCAUGCCUUACACAUGCAAGUCGAACGGCAGCANGGAGCUUGGUCUUGGAUUCAGCGGCGAACGGGUGAGUAAUGCCUAGGAAUGUGCCUAGUAGUGGGGGACAACGUUUCGAAAGGGUCGCUAAUACCGCAUACGUCCUACGGGGGAAAGCAGGGGACCUCAGGGCCUUGCACUAUCAGAUGAGCCUAGAUCGGAUUAGCUAGUUGGUGAGGUNNGGCUCACCAAGGCGACGAUCCGUAGCUGGUNNAGAGGAUAUCANUCACACNNGAACUGAGACACGGNCAGACUNNNCGGGAGNCANCNGUGGGGAAUUUUNGNCANNGNCGAAAGCUUAUNCAGCCCAUGCCGCGUGUCGAAGAANNUUUCGGGUUGUAAAGCCACUUUAACAGGAAAGAAACGUCAUAGAUUNAUNUCCGCAAAAUUGACGGUACCGGCAGAAUAAGCACCGGCUAACUACGUGCCAGCAGCCGCGGUAAUACGUAGGGUGCAAGCGUUAAUCGGAAUUACUGGGCGUAAAGCGUGCGCAGGCGGUUCGGUAAGAAAGAUGUGAAAUCCCCGAGCUCAACUUUGGAACUGCAUUUUUAACUGUCGAGCUAGAGUGUGUCAGNGGGAGGUGGAAUNUCGCGUGUAGCGGUGAAAUGCGUAGAUAUACGAAGGAACACCGA
RNAcentral lists this ribosomal RNA (700 nucleotides) under Variovorax boronicumulans. Its description in RNAcentral is "partial 16S ribosomal RNA". It matches the Rfam family "Bacterial small subunit ribosomal RNA", at positions 8 to 712 of the family's 1533-position model. Lineage: Bacteria; Pseudomonadati; Pseudomonadota; Betaproteobacteria; Burkholderiales; Comamonadaceae. The record is from RNAcentral.